AGUGGCGUAGCCGAAUCGGUGUCGCGGCCAGCCAGAUAGGGGCGGAGGUCCGGAACCCAGUCUGGACCCGAGCGGGGGGCCAUGGAGAAAGCGGCCCGAGGCGCUGUUUACACCGACUAGCGCGGGCCCCUUGCGGCUGCAGGCAUCAUGGACCGAGCCCCCACAGAGCAGAAUGUCAAGCUGUCAGCUGAGGUAGAGCCAUUUAUUCCCCAGAAGAAGAGUCCUGAUACAUUUAUGAUCCCUAUGGCUCUCCCAAAUGAUAAUGGAAGUGUUUCUGGUGUAGAACCAACUCCAAUUCCCAGCUACCUGAUUACUUGUUACCCAUUUGUGCAGGAAAACCAGUCCAAUAGGUAAUUUGUUUAUUUUUAUUUUCUUUUUUGUGGGGGUGGCUAUAAAAGCUGGCAAAGUGCACUUAAUAUUUUUCUUUUGCAACUUUUAGACUUUAACCAUUUCUCUAUUAAGAGGAGUAAAUAAAACAAUACUGAAAUUUGGAAAUUGUUAAUAUGGAUUAGUUUCUCAUUUUUGCUAAGAGAAAAUUGAAUUCUU
This 546-nucleotide small RNA is filed under the name Pongo abelii (Sumatran orangutan). RNAcentral describes it as "retained intron". Lineage: Eukaryota; Metazoa; Chordata; Mammalia; Primates; Hominidae. The record is from RNAcentral.